GCGAAAUAAACAAUUCUCCCCAGAAAACACCGCCCCACUCUUCAGACAGCUCUUCUCUAGGGAGGCUGAGAUGGCAGACAUUUUAACUUUCCACAGUUAAAAUUUUUUUUUAUUUUUAUUUUUGGCUGUGCUGGGUCUUCGUUCCUUUUGCACAGGCUUUUCUCUGUUUGGGGCAAAUGGGGUCUACUCUGUGUUUCGAUGCACCGGCUUCUCUUACUGCUGAGCACAGACUCUAGGCAUGCAGGCUUCACGUAGUUGCAGCUCGCAGGCUCAGUAGUUGGGCCCCAGAGGUUUAGUUGCCCCUCUGCACGCGGAAUCUUCCCAGAUCAGGGAUUGAACCCCUGUUCCUUGCAUUGGCACGUGGAUUCUUACCAAAUCUGCCACAAAACAAAGGGAAGUCUUUGUUUUCACAUGUGCGCAUUUCUGAACUCAGGGUAUAUCUGACAAAUGAUGCCCUUUCAUAACUAUUUGGCAGUACUUUCUCUACAUAAAAGAACAGUAAAGUACUACAAUUAAAGGCCUUCUACUCUAUUAACUGGAGUAGUUCAGAAGCUGGCUCUCAUUGGCCCAAGAAGAUCACAUGCCUCUAGCUGGCUAAUCACUGUGGCUCUUGUUGUUAGGCCUUAAUCAGGUGCUUCUUUGCUGUUAAGGGUUGGGGGUCUGCAUCCCUUAAGCAGGAGGACCAGCAAAGGAAUGGUGGUUUCCGAGAAGAAAGUCAAAGUGUUGUGGUCAGAAGAGAGACGGUGGAUUCCAGGCAGAAAGAGACAACUGCUGUUUCGUUUUGAGAUUCCGUAAGAAUAUGUCUGUGGAACAAUGGAAGCCUACAAGACAGGCUAGGCUUCCUGGGAAUGGAUUCCGCAAGGAAGGAAAUGCCAGCCAAUGGGCGAGUCAUGUCCCCUGCCAGAGCACGUCUCCUCUUGCUAGCACUGCGAUCACACAUGUUUCACAAUCCCCACAUCUGCUCCGCUAGUGGCUUCAAAGUGGGAGUACCGAAGACAGUCAGAACAACUUGCUGAUGGAGAAAGAAACCGAAUACAGACCUGGCAUGCCGGGAAGUGGGGGUGGGGAAUGACUUUAUCAUCAUCAUUCUGUUUCUCUCUCUUUAGAAGGUCAGGUUGGCUGUGUCAAGGAAAGCCCUCGAAGGUGGUAAUUCUGCCUUUGACUUCAGCCGGUAGACUUGACAUGCACUCCCCAUGGUAGCUGGUUUGUGCUGAACCUGUCACUGCCUCUUCAAAACAUUGCUGGUUUCCAUGGGAACAGAGCAGCACUUACUGAAAGAGCUGCUGGAAAUUUCAAGAUGUCCAAAACUGUCCCUCUAAUGUGUUUUUCUAAGACCUGAUUUGAAAGAGAAACAAUAGCACAACUUGGCAAAGAAGACAAUGGAAGAGGAAUGAUAAUAAGAGUGGCUUGACAGCGUUUGUGGAUCCCAGCAUGCUGUCUUGAUUCUGCCCUUUAGAAAUCAGUCCCAGGGAGAUACUGGCUGAAGCAGAUUCAUGAUCCACGGGCUCCUGACUUCAGACGUGGCUUUGUUAUGGACAGCAAGCCUAUUUGCUGUUUUCAGAGUUUAAAUCUCCACAGGACAAUGCAGCAACAUAACUGGGAAUACACUUGCUAAAUGAGCCUCUUGCAUGCCUGUCUACCUCCUACUCUCUGAGCUAAAAAAGAGCUCAGCAACUGGGAUGAUUAUAUAUCUAUUUUUUAAAGCCACUCUGUAAGGUGGUAACGUGAAAUGAAAGAUAAUGCUUUUCUUUAACCGUUGUCAGGUUGGCAUACCAGAAGAUGAGAUUUUUCUUUUCAUCUCCUUUAAUUAAUUUUUCAAAAAUAGAUUCGAAAAAGAAUUAGA
Molecule: long non-coding RNA, 1843 nt
Organism: Bos indicus x Bos taurus (hybrid cattle)
Lineage: Eukaryota; Metazoa; Chordata; Mammalia; Artiodactyla; Bovidae
Source: Ensembl